This 1517-nucleotide small RNA is filed under the name uncultured Arctic sea ice bacterium. RNAcentral's name for it is "bacterial SSU rRNA". The stretch from base 1 to 994 matches the Rfam family "Bacterial small subunit ribosomal RNA", at positions 528 to 1533 of the family's 1533-position model. The record is from RNAcentral.
AAGGGACCUAGCGUAGUUCGGAAUUACUGGGCUUAAAGAGUUCGUAGGUGGUUGAAAAAGUUGGUGGUGAAAUCCCAGAGCUUAACUCUGGAACUGCCAUCAAAACUUUUCAGCUAGAGUAUGAUAGAGGAAAGCAGAAUUUCUAGUGUAGAGGUGAAAUUCGUAGAUAUUAGAAAGAAUACCAAUUGCGAAGGCAGCUCUCUGGAUCAUUACUGACACUGAGGAACGAAAGCAUGGGUAGCGAAGAGGAUUAGAUACCCUCGUAGUCCAUGCCGUAAACGAUGUGUGUUAGACGUUGGAAAUUUAUUUUCAGUGUCGCAGGGAAGCCGAUAAACACACCGCCUGGGGAGUACGACCGCAAGGUUAAAACUCAAAUGAAUUGACGGGGACCCGCACAAGUAGUGGAGCAUGUGGUUUAAUUCGAAGAUACGCGCAGAACCUUACCAACACUUGACAUGUUCGUCGCGACUCUAAGAGACUAGAGUUUUCGGUUCGGCCGGACGAAACACAGGUGCUGCAUGGCUGUCGUCAGCUCGUGUCGUGAGAUGUUGGGUUAAGUCCCGCAACGAGCGCAACCCUCACUUUUAGUUGCCAUCAUUAAGUUGGGCACUCUGAAAGAACUGCCAGUGAUAAGCUGGAGGAAGGUGGGGAUGACGUCAAGUCCUCAUGGCCCUUACGUGUUGGGCUACACACGUGCUACAAUGGCAUCUACAACAGGAAGCAAAACGGCAACGUUAAGCAAAUCCCGAAAAGAUGCCUCAGUUCGGAUUGCACUCUGCAACUCGAGUGCAUGAAGCUGGAAUUACUAGUAAUCGUGGAUCAGCGUGCCACGGUGAAUGCGUUCCCGGGUCUUGUACACACCGCCCGUCACACCAUGGGAGUUGGUUCUACCUUAAGGCAAGGUUUUAAACCCUUGACCACGGUAUAGUCAGCGACUGGGGUGAAGUCGUAACAAGGUAGCCGUAGGGGAACCUGCGGCUGGAUUACCUCCUUUCUAAGGAUGAGUGAAAGUAAAAUUUCACUCUAAAUAAUAUACAUCGGUAAUGUUGACCGUCCUCAUUUCUCUUCUUAAAGUAAUGUUUCCUUCUUGUAGGGCCGGUAGCUCAGUUGGUUAGAGCACACCCUUGAUAAGGGUGGGGUCGAAAGUUCGAGUCUUUCUCGGCCCACCAAAAACCUAAAUGGGGAUUAGCUCAUCUGGGAGAGCGCCUGAUUUGCAUUCAGGAGGUAGCAGGUUCGAUCCCUGUAUCCUCCACCAGGAAACAUUUAGUUAUUAAAACUGUAAAUAAAAAUAAUUUAUAUCAAUAUCUAUAUCCGAACAUUAAAAGUUAUUAUUUAAUGUUCAAAAUAAAAAUUUGAUCACAACAUAGAUAAAUUUUCUGUUAAAAGAAUUUUUUUCUGUGCAUAAAUCAAGCGUUUAAGGGCGUGUAGUGGAUGCCUUGGCACUGAAAGCCGAUGAAGGACGUGAUAUACUGCGAUAAGUUUCGGGGAGCUGUAUGUAAGCUUUGAUCCGAAAAUUU